GGGGGUGAUCGGUUUCGACAGCGUCUGUUGAGCAAGGAGAAGCGGGCCGAGGAAGGCGACGAUGAUCUCGUUAACCACCCGUCGCAAAAAAUCAAGCGCCGAGAACAAAACUCAGCGCAGUGUCGCCCUCGCCGCCUGAGCGAGUGUGACACUCGUCAGUCCGGGUUCUCCUCCGCCCCGGGUACUGGCGCCAGCUAGGAGGAUUACCGAAGGAUCCGGUCGCGGGAUCCGACGGGACAUCUCACAGCGACUGGGCCUGUCGCACCAGCACGUUCGCAUGACUGGUGAGGUCAAGUAGGGACAAGGCGGACUGCGCCCGGAGAAGGCCUCGUGAGGCAACGUUGGACGCGGGUUCAAUUCCCGCCACCUCCACAG
Molecule: transfer-messenger RNA, 375 nt
Filed under: Nakamurella flavida
Lineage: Bacteria; Bacillati; Actinomycetota; Actinomycetes; Nakamurellales; Nakamurellaceae
Description: Standard tmRNA
Rfam family: transfer-messenger RNA
About the family: Bacterial tmRNA, also known as 10Sa RNA or SsrA, is named for its dual tRNA and mRNA-like properties. Its role is to liberate the mRNA from a stalled ribosome.
Source: Rfam by way of RNAcentral